UACGUAGGGCGCAAGCGUUGUCCGGAAUUAUUGGGCGUAAAGAGCUCGUAGGCGGUCUGUUACGUCCGCUGUGAAAACCCAGGGCUUAACCCUGGGCUUGCAGUGGAUACGGGUAGACUAGAGGCAGGUAGGGGAGAAUGGAAUUCCCGGCGUAGCGGUGAAAUGCGCAGAUAUCGGGAGGAACACCGGUGGCGAAGGCGGUUCUCUGGGCCUGACCUGACGCUGAGGAGCGAAAGCGUGGGGAGCGAACAGG
This 253-nucleotide ribosomal RNA is filed under the name uncultured bacterium. RNAcentral's name for it is "partial 16S ribosomal RNA". It matches the Rfam family "Bacterial small subunit ribosomal RNA", at positions 524 to 776 of the family's 1533-position model. The record is from RNAcentral.